This 763-nucleotide long non-coding RNA is filed under the name Helianthus annuus (common sunflower). The record is from RNAcentral. Lineage: Eukaryota; Viridiplantae; Streptophyta; Magnoliopsida; Asterales; Asteraceae.
AUACACCCACUAUACUUGGAAAUACCCUUAACCUUCUAACUUAAUACCUAUUAGUUAACAAAAACUUUCACUUUACCCCCCCCCCCCCCACCGAAAAUCUGCCAUAAUCAUUUAAAAUAUUUUGUGAAGAUUAUGUGUAAAGGGAAUCUUGAUUUCUAUUGGCCAAGAUCUAGGUAAUUAUGAUCCUAGGCUAGAUUGGCACAUGGCUCCAAGGAUUCUUAUCAUUACAUUAAGAUCACACUUCACCCCUUCUCUCUCUCUCAUUUUCGGCUCACCCUAGCUGAAUUUACCAUCACCACCACUUAAACAUCACUAACUCAUUCAUACUCAAGCUCCAUUCAAGCCUUGAAGGUGAUCCAUGAAGGUUGCAAGUUAAGAAGCAUUCAAGGAAGCUUUGUUCUAAUCUUGUCAUCAUCUUUUCUCACCAUCAUCUUCACUAUGAUUCUUCCCUAGCUUGAAGCUAGUAGGAGUCGUGUUUGCUGAGGAGAUUUGGGUUACAAGUACCGAAGACGCAAUACAAUACUUUUAUACAUGGUAUGAUUAGCUAGGGAAUUUACUGUUAGAUCACGUGAAUGGAUAGGCUAUUAUCGUAAGACCAUUAAUCCUUGUAUAAGGACCGAUAGGCAUGAGUGAUAGAUCUAUUGGGUGUUGCGAGCCCCACAAAUGGACCAGCGUGUGGCUGCAUGUGGUGACUAUGUCGUUCCGCCGGAAGGACCGGUAUGAAGUACGCGUUACAGGAAAUUAAGUAUGGAUCUGGCGGGCG